RNAcentral lists this ribosomal RNA (468 nucleotides) under uncultured bacterium. Its description in RNAcentral is "partial 16S ribosomal RNA". It matches the Rfam family "Bacterial small subunit ribosomal RNA", at positions 28 to 507 of the family's 1533-position model. The record is from RNAcentral.
GACGAACGCUGGCGGCGUGCUUAACACAUGCAAGUCGAACGGAAAGGCCCUGCUUUUGUUGGGUGCUCGAGUGGCGAACGGGUGAGUAACACGUGAGUAACCUGCCCUUGACUUUCGGAUAACUUCAGGAAACUGGGGAUAAUACCGCAUAUGAUCUCCUGCUGCAUGGUGGUGGUUGGAAAGUUUCGGCGGUUGUGGAUGGACUCGCGGCUUAUCAGCUUGUUGGUGGGGUAGUGGCGUACCAAGGCUUUGACGGGUAGCCGGCCUGAGAGGGUGACCGGCGACAUUGGGACUGAGAUACGGCCCAGACUCCUACGGGAGGCAGCAGUGGGGAAUAUUGCACAAUGGGCGGAAGCCUGAGGCAGCAACGCCGCGUGCGGGAUGCCGGCCUUCGGGUUGUAAACCGCUUUCGCAUGUGACGAAGCGUGAGUGACGGUAAUGGGUAAAGAAGCACCGGCUAACUACGUG